RNAcentral lists this microRNA precursor (59 nucleotides) under Homo sapiens (human). RNAcentral's name for it is "Hsa-Mir-430-P1_pre stem-loop". It matches the Rfam family "mir-302 microRNA precursor family", at positions 6 to 63 of the family's 68-position model. Lineage: Eukaryota; Metazoa; Chordata; Mammalia; Primates; Hominidae. The record is from RNAcentral.
ACUUUAACAUGGAAGUGCUUUCUGUGACUUUAAAAGUAAGUGCUUCCAUGUUUUAGUAG